Molecule: ribosomal RNA, 1034 nt
Filed under: uncultured bacterium
Lineage: Bacteria
Description: bacterial SSU rRNA
Rfam family: Bacterial small subunit ribosomal RNA
Source: RNAcentral
UGCGCAAGACAAAGUGGCAACACUUAGAGAGUACUGGGUGUUGAACGUUACUUAGUGGCGAACGGGUGAGUAACGCGUAGACAACCUGCCUUCUAGAUGGGGACAACGUUCCGAAAGGGACGCUAAUACCGAAUGUUGUAAUUUGGACACAUGUUCGAAUUACUAAAGGUGGCCUCUUUAAAUGCUACCGCUAGAAGAUGGGUCUGCGUCUGAUUAGCUAGUUGGUGAGGUAAAGGCUCACCAGGCGACGAUCAGUAGCCGGUCUGAGAGGAUGAACGGCCACACUGGGACUGAGACACGGCCCAGACUCCUACGGGAGGCAGCAGUGGGGAAUCUUCCGCAAUGGACGAAAGUCUGACGGAGCAACGCCGCGUGAGUGAAGAAGGUUUUCGGAUCGUAAAGCUCUGUCUUCAGGGACGAAUGUGCUCUUUGUGAAUAAUGGAGAGUAAUGACGGUACCUGAGGAGGAAGCCACGGGCUAACUAACGUGCCAGCAGCCGCGGUAAUACGUAGGUGGCAAGCGUUGUCCGGAAUUAUUGGGCGUAAAGCGCGCGCAGGCGGGAAUACAAGUCUAUCUUAAAAGUGCGGAGCUCAACUGCGUGAGGGGAUGGAAACUGUAUUUCUUGAGUGACGGAGAGGAAAGUGGAAUUCCCAGUGUAGCGGUGAAAUGCGUAGAGAUUGGGAGGAACACCAGUGGCGAAGGCGGCUUUCUGGACGUUGUCUGACGCUGAGGCGCGAAAGCCAGGGAAGUGAACGGGAUUAGACACCCCGGUAAUCCUGGCCGUAAACGAUGGGUACUAGGUGUAGGGGGUAUCGACCCCCCCUGUGCCGGAGUUAACGCAAUAAGUACCCCGCCUGGGGAGUACGGCCGCAAGGUUGAAACUCAAAGGAAUUGACGGGGGCCCGCACAAGCGGUGGAGUAUGUGGUUUAAUUCGACGCAACGCGAAGAACCUUACCAGGACUUGACAUCGAUAGAAAGUUUAAGAGAUUAGACUGUGCCCUUCGGGGAACUAGAAGACAGGUGGUGCAUGGCU